GGGAACAUGGCUCGGUGGUAGAGCACUUGCCUAGCAGGCUGGAGGUUCUGGGUUUGAUCCCCAGCUUACUCC
RNAcentral lists this transfer RNA (72 nucleotides) under Cavia porcellus (domestic guinea pig). It matches the Rfam family "tRNA". From Rfam's summary of the family: Transfer RNA (tRNA) molecules are approximately 80 nucleotides in length. The record is from Rfam by way of RNAcentral. Lineage: Eukaryota; Metazoa; Chordata; Mammalia; Rodentia; Caviidae.